RNAcentral lists this long non-coding RNA (940 nucleotides) under Theropithecus gelada (gelada). RNAcentral's name for it is "lncRNA (ENSTGEG00000000945.1)". Lineage: Eukaryota; Metazoa; Chordata; Mammalia; Primates; Cercopithecidae. The record is from RNAcentral.
UGUAGAACCCUUUUCUCAGGCAAAACCUAACAUCUGACCGCACCCUUUUUGCUAUUUAAAAAAAAAAAAAAAAAGAAAAAAAAAGGUUCUUUUUUUUUCCUCCUUUCGUUAAGAUAAAUUCUCCAAUAGACAACCUCUCCCACUAAUUGUGUAUUAGCAACGUAUUUUAUCUUGAGAGCUUGUACACUGGGCUCUCAACGUGGUGUGGAAGGUAGCCUGUUACAGUGCUGGAUUCAUAAAAGGGCCUUUAUGGUUUGUGAAAGAAUAUCUGUGUGCUUAGGAAGGAAACUUUUUGAUCUGCAGAAAAGCCAGAAGACAUCUAGGAUAUCCAUAAAAAUUCAUCAGACAGUGUUUUACUACUGAGCUACAAAGGGAAAAACUUAAAAUGGAUAUGAAAAGUGAAGAAAGUGAUCAUAGGAGAAAACCAUUUCAGAUGACAAGAGCACCUCAAAGGCAGCAGCCUCUAGGAGCAGCCAUGGUCCCAGAGUUGUCCCACGGAUGCAGAAAACGUAAUGGAGGAGUCUGAGGUUGUGGAAAAUGCACUAGAAUCAACAAACAUGGGGACAAAUUCAACUCGGAUAUCAAGUCUUCAGAGAAGUUUUCCUGCCUUUCUCUCCCUGUAGAAUUAAGUAUUCUUCCAGUGUGACACCAUCUAACUUGUGCUCACAUCUUCCUCUAUUGUAGUUAUGUGUUCACAUGCCUGUUUUUUUGUACCAGGUUCUCCCAAAGGGAGACAUUCAGUCUUACUCUUCUUGGUAACUUUAGCACAGACCUGGCAGAUUGUUGAUGCUCAACAAAUGUUUAUUGACUCAGAUACGUUCAAUUGAACAUUGACUUUUGAUCAACUCUGGGAAAAGUCUGCAAAGCUAGUGAGGACAUUCAGAAAUUAAUUUCAUUUCAAUCUUAACUAAAUAAAUUAUUGAAGUCUCAGAACUUCUCA